GGCCUCGUAGUUCAACUGAAUAGAAUAUCAGAUUUCGGCUCUGAGGGUUGGGGGUUUGAAUCCCUCCGGGGUCA
This 74-nucleotide transfer RNA is filed under the name Bacteroidetes bacterium RIFCSPLOWO2_12_FULL_31_6. RNAcentral's name for it is "tRNA-Arg". It matches the Rfam family "tRNA". Rfam says of the family: Transfer RNA (tRNA) molecules are approximately 80 nucleotides in length. The record is from RNAcentral. Lineage: Bacteria; Pseudomonadati; Bacteroidota.